GAUGAAGAACGCAGCGAAAUGCGAUAAGUAAUGUGAAUUGCAGAAUUCAGUGAAUCAUCGAAUCUUUGAACGCACCUUGCGCCCCUUGGUAUUCCGAGGGGCAUGCCUGUUCGAGCGUCAUUACACCACUCAAGCUAUGCUUGGUAUUGGGCGUCGUCCUUAGUUGGGCGCGCCUUAAAGACCUCGGCGAGGCCACUCCGGCUUUAGGCGUAGUAGAAUUUAUUCGAACGUCUGUCAAAGGAGAGGAACUCUGCCGACUGAAACCUUUAUUUUUCUAGGUUGACCUCGGAUCAGGUAGGGAUACCCGCUGAACUUAAGCAUAUCAAUAAGCGGAGGA
This 337-nucleotide unclassified non-coding RNA is filed under the name soil metagenome. RNAcentral describes it as "partial contains 5.8S ribosomal RNA, internal transcribed spacer 2, and large subunit ribosomal RNA". The stretch from base 1 to 120 matches the Rfam family "5.8S ribosomal RNA", at positions 35 to 154 of the family's 154-position model. The record is from RNAcentral.